Trichonephila clavipes is the source of this 96-nucleotide non-coding RNA. Lineage: Eukaryota; Metazoa; Arthropoda; Arachnida; Araneae; Nephilidae. The record is from the annotation of a GenBank genome assembly.
GUCCCUGUAGCGCAAUGGAUAGUGCGUUGGACUUCUAAUCCAAAAGGUCGUGGGUUCGAAUUAGUGGUGUAGCGUAGGCUUUCACCACCUGGGGCC